Osmia lignaria (orchard mason bee) is the source of this 671-nucleotide non-coding RNA. The record is from RefSeq and is a predicted model, not a curated record. NCBI's taxonomy places the organism in Eukaryota, Metazoa, Arthropoda, Insecta, Hymenoptera, Megachilidae.
CGCCUCUUCCUAGGCGAUUUCAAAUAUUAUCUCAAUUCGCGCCUUUUAGAAAAGUGCGUAGUAUGUCGAUUGAUUUUACUAUUUGAACAAAUUUAUUUUCUUUUUGUAUAAUGAUAAUGUUUAUUAAAAGUGCAGUGAAGUUACUUAUGAACGCAUAGAAAUGAUUUUCAGUGAUAGCUUAUUUCGAUUGGAUUCGUUAUGCACAUCUGAAUUUCUAGUGUAGGCAUAAGAUACUCGUAUACUGUAGGCCUGCUGUAGAUUAUAAACAGCAGUUAGCGGCUGUACGUGUACUUACAUGUAUCUAAUGUUUGUUGACGUCUUGCCUCCCGUGUCCUCGCGCAAGGUUUUUCGUACAAAUGUACGGACACGGCAAGCAGCUAGUUCCCUGACUACAGCGGUGUCGAAUACAUCAAAUAAUUUUCUUCCCGGUCUACACAGCCUCCUACACUAGCAUUAGAGAUGAACCGGCACGUCGAAUGGAAUCGCGAGCAGCGUUUGAAAGACAACAAAAAAGACGGGAGAGAUAAGGAAAGUGCAGCUUAACACACCAUGAAGAAUAGCAUGCGAAUAGAAUAUGCCGUGAAGGACUGAAACGCGAUAAAACACAAAAAGGACGAUAAUCUCAAGACGUAUAAAGCAUAUAACAACUGAAACAGCUUAAUUCAAUCUCA